UACGUAGGGGGCAAGCGUUGUCCGGAAUUAUUGGGCGUAAAGAGCGUGUAGGCGGCCAGAUAAGUCCGCUGUGAAAUCUCGAGGCUCAACUUCGAGCUGUCGGUGGAAACUGUCUGGCUAGAGUCCGGAAGAGGAGAAUGGAAUUCCUGGUGUAGCGGUGAAAUGCGCAGAUAUCAGGAAGAACACCCGUGGCGAAGGCGGCUCACUGGCCCGGUUCUGACGCUGAGGUGCGAAAGCGUGGGGAGCAAACAGG
This 253-nucleotide ribosomal RNA is filed under the name uncultured bacterium. Its description in RNAcentral is "partial 16S ribosomal RNA". It matches the Rfam family "Bacterial small subunit ribosomal RNA", at positions 524 to 776 of the family's 1533-position model. The record is from RNAcentral.